UACGAAGGGGGCUAGCGUUGUUCGGAAUCACUGGGCGUAAAGCGUGCGCAGGCGGUUUUGUAAGCCAGAUGUGAAAUCCCCGGGCUUAACCUGGGAAUGGCAUUUGGGACUGCAAGGCUCGAGUGCGGCAGAGGAGACUGGAAUUCCUGGUGUAGCAGUGAAAUGCGUAGAUAUCAGGAGGAACACCGAUGGCGAAGGCAGGUCUCUGGGCUGACACUGACGCUCAUGCACGAAAGCGUGGGGAGCAAACAGG
Molecule: ribosomal RNA, 253 nt
Filed under: uncultured bacterium
Lineage: Bacteria
Description: partial 16S ribosomal RNA
Rfam family: Bacterial small subunit ribosomal RNA
Source: RNAcentral